Pteropus alecto (black flying fox) is the source of this 927-nucleotide long non-coding RNA. RefSeq lists it as uncharacterized. The record is from RefSeq and is a predicted model, not a curated record. NCBI's taxonomy places the organism in Eukaryota, Metazoa, Chordata, Mammalia, Chiroptera, Pteropodidae. The transcript has 3 exons.
CAGAAACUAUAAAUUAUGUAAGAGGUUAACAAGUGUUUUUUUGUUUUAUUUUGUUUUGUUUUGUUUGGGAAGAGGAGGCAAUACCCUGGUUAAAUAAAUCUAGAAAACUCCGGUUUGAACAAAACUUGUUUUCUACCAGAGUCCUCAGUAUACAAGCUUUUCCCGAAGUAACUUUAUUACGGAAUCUUCUGUUUACCAAGACUCAAGAGACGGGCGCUCCACAGGGCCCUUCGAAAACGUUCUUUUACAUACAGCCCUGGUUUUGCUACUCAACAUUUGUGACGGGGGUAUAAAAGGAGGAAAGAGAGAAAGAAAGGAUGAGUCAUGUAUCUGCUCCAAAACUGUCACUUAGGACCUACUGCAUGCCAAGCAUUCUUGGUUUUAGACACUGGAAUUACAGCAAAGAACCACACAAAAUCUCUGCCCCACACUGCAAAGGGUGAGACAACACUUUUUUUUAAAUAAAUACAUUCUCCAUUCCGGAAUGCCCUUCUGGUCAGGAAGAGUCACAGGGACUGAAUUUAUUGUUAUACACGAAACAACUAAAAAGAUAAACGGACAAACUCUAUGAAACAACAGCACAAGACGCUGGACACCAGGCACCACAGGUCAUGCGAAUGGGAUCGGACGACACGGGAGGAGGAGGACCUGGCUCCUUCUGCUCAGCAGUUUGGUGGCCCGCAUGAGCAGCUGCUCCCCCUCACUGCUGGGCAUACGCCUCCUAUGGCUGCACCGUGAUCCCGCUGUCGGACCCUGAGCUGCUUCCGUGUUUUUUGGCUAUUACGCACCUGGUCUUCCCAGGUGGUCUCCCAUCCAAGCACUAACCAGCCCCUACCCUGCUUAGCUUCCAAGAUCAGACGGGAUCCAGCUUGUUCAGGAGGUCAUGGCCGUAGACAGCAGAAGUUUUAAAUUUUCAUGAAAUAAAUU